GGUCCAGACUUUGAUUAUGGCUCAGGAUGAACGCUAGCUACAGGCUUAACACAUGCAAGUCGAGGGGAAACGACAUCGAAAGCUUGCUUCUGAUGGGCGUCGACCGGCGCACGGGUGAGUAACGCGUAUCCAACCUGCCCACCACUUGGGGAUAACCUUGCGAAAGUAAGACUAAUACCCAAUGACGUCUCUAGAAGACAUCUGAAAGAGAUUAAAGAUUUAUCGGUGAUGGAUGGGGAUGCGUCUGAUUAGCUUGUUGGCGGGGUAACGGCCCACCAAGGCGACGAUCAGUAGGGGUUCUGAGAGGAAGGUCCCCCACAUUGGAACUGAGACACGGUCCAAACUCCUACGGGAGGCAGCAGUGAGGAAUAUUGGUCAAUGGGCGAGAGCCUGAACCAGCCAAGUAGCGUGCAGGAUGACGGCCCUAUGGGUUGUAAACUGCUUUUAUAAGGGAAUAAAGUGAGUCUCGUGAGACUUUUUGCAUGUACCUUAUGAAUAAGGACCGGCUAAUUCCGUGCCAGCAGCCGCGGUAAUACGGAAGGUCCGGGCGUUAUCCGGAUUUAUUGGGUUUAAAGGGAGCGUAGGCCGGAGAUUAAGCGUGUUGUGAAAUGUAGACGCUCAACGUCUGCACUGCAGCGCGAACUGGUUUCCUUGAGUACGCACAAAGUGGGCGGAAUUCGUGGUGUAGCGGUGAAAUGCUUAGAUAUCACGAAGAACUCCGAUUGCGAAGGCAGCUCACUGGAGCGCAACUGACGCUGAAGCUCGAAAGUGCGGGUAUCGAACAGGAUUAGAUACCCUGGUAGUCCGCACGGUAAACGAUGGAUGCCCGCUGUUGGUCUGAAUAGGUCAGCGGCCAAGCGAAAGCAUUAAGCAUCCCACCUGGGGAGUACGCCGGCAACGGUGCAACUCAAAUGAAUUGACGG
This 923-nucleotide ribosomal RNA is filed under the name uncultured Bacteroidota bacterium. RNAcentral's name for it is "bacterial SSU rRNA". It matches the Rfam family "Bacterial small subunit ribosomal RNA", at positions 1 to 916 of the family's 1533-position model. Lineage: Bacteria; Pseudomonadati; Bacteroidota. The record is from RNAcentral.